GGACAUUAUUCACUUGAGGACGCACUUUGUGGAUGCCAUCUGCUCCACCUUUCUAACAGGCGAUUUCUACCUAAGGCAUGCCCAGCAGGCCCCAGAUGUAAACGUGAACCACUUCCUGUCCUGCAACAAACGGACACAAACACUUCACUUACUCAAUGAGCUCAGGGAGCCAGCCCGGGACCCGGUGCCCUCCAGGCCGUAGAUCUGCACGGAGUCGUACGGCGGCUGGGACGGGUCAAAAGUGACCUGGGCCAGGCGUAGGCGUAGGAACUCGCCCACCCUUAGAGCCAAAGAGGGACCUCCAGAACCUGGUGUCCCCCUGGAUGCCUCCAUUCCUGGGCCCCAACCAGGACUAAAGCCAACGAC
This is a long non-coding RNA of Nerophis lumbriciformis (worm pipefish), 366 nucleotides long. RefSeq lists it as uncharacterized. Lineage: Eukaryota; Metazoa; Chordata; Actinopteri; Syngnathiformes; Syngnathidae. The record is from RefSeq and is a predicted model, not a curated record.